CUGACUGCUAUCGGAUUGGUACUAAGCCAUGUGAGUCGUUGUAGCAAUACAAGGCAUACGGCUCAGUAACACGUAGUCAAUCUAACCUAUGGACGGGGAUAACCUCGGGAAACUGAGGAUAAACCCCGAUAGAUCAUUAUACCUGGAACGGUUUAUGGUCCAAAUGAUUCGUCGCCGUAGGGUGGGACUGCGGCCUAUCAGCUUGUUGGUGAGGUAAUGGCCCACCAAGGCUAUUACAGGUACGGGCUCUGAGAGGAGAAGCCCGGAGAUGGGUACUGAGACACGGACCCAGGCCCUAUGGGGCGCAGCAGGCGAGAAACCUUUGCAAUGUGCGCAAGCACGACAAGGUUAAUCCGAGUGUUUCCUGCUAAAGGAAUCUUUUGUUAGUUCUAAAACCACUGAUGAAUAAGGGGUGGGCAAGUUCUGGUGUCAGCCGCCGCGGUAAAACCAGCACCUCAAGUGGUCAGGAUGAUUAUUGGGCCUAAAGCAUCCGUAGCCUGUUCUGUAAGUUUCCGGUUAAAUCCAUUAGCUCAACUAAUGGGCUGCCGAAAAUACUGCAGAACUAGGGAGUGGGAGAGGUAGACGGUACUCGGUAGGAAGGGGUAAAAUCCUUUGAUCUAUUGAUGACCACCUGUGGCGAAGGCGGUCUACCAGAACACGUUCGACGGUGAGGGAUGAAAGCUGGGGGAGCAAACCGGAUUAGAUACCCGGGUAGUCCCAGCUGUAAACGAUGCAGACUCGGUGAUGCCCUGGCUUGUGGCCAGUGCAGUGCCGCAGGGAAGCCGCUAAGUUUGCCGCCUGGGAAGUACGUACGCAAGUAUGAAACUUAAAGGAAUUGGCGGGGGAGCACCACAAGGGGUGAAGCCUGCGGUUC
This 874-nucleotide ribosomal RNA is filed under the name uncultured archaeon. RNAcentral describes it as "bacterial SSU rRNA". It matches the Rfam family "Archaeal small subunit ribosomal RNA", at positions 23 to 903 of the family's 1478-position model. The record is from RNAcentral.